Long non-coding RNA from Syzygium oleosum, 1899 nucleotides. RefSeq lists it as uncharacterized. NCBI's taxonomy places the organism in Eukaryota, Viridiplantae, Streptophyta, Magnoliopsida, Myrtales, Myrtaceae. The transcript is spliced from 2 exons. The record is from RefSeq and is a predicted model, not a curated record.
CCAGAUUUCAAAUUACUUGAACAUUGAUGUCAAUUACACACAGCACAAUCACAGUCACACAAAUUGCCACCCUUCCCUCCGCCAUGCUAGCAGAACUUCCCCUCCUUUUUUGUUGUUAUACCUUUUGAGAGGAGAGAGAGAGGGUUAAGCCAAGAUUAGAACUUUUGUGUUCAGCAUAAAGAGAUGAUACAAACAAUAACUGGACUUUAAACUCUCAGAAAUUUGCCAUUGAUAUUGUACUGCCUAAGCAUCAAGUCAUUUAAUAAGCAAAAUUCAAUAUAGGCAGCAUUGCUAACAUAAUAGUCCGGUCAGUUUAAUAAACCUCCAGAUGGGGAAACGGGGCCAGAAAAAAAAAACGCAAGAUGGUCUUCAGUGAACUUAUCAGCAACAUAACAUUGAACAGAACACGAGAUUUCUUGAAGUUUUUCAGAAACCGGGAGCCAAAUUAACAUGCAAAACAGAUAAAUGUCACAGAUGCUUGAACAACUUGAAUGGAAACUGUGCUUAAUGUGAAUGGUGAGUGAUGUGGCAAGCUUGUUAGAUAAACACGGUCAAUCGUCGAGCCAGUCCAGAGAGAAGCACUUGUCCACGAAAUGAACUUGAACAUCCUCCCUAGGCUCCACAACCUCUUGCCACCCCGAAGACACCUCCUCAUCGCAGACCACAGUUUUAAGAGACCUCAUCGAUGAGGCAGACAUCGGCACCCGCCUUAUUUGCACGCAUUCCCUCAUAUCGAUCUUCUCAAGUGUCCCCAGGUUUCCAAUUUCGUCAGGAAGGCGCAUCAAAUUAACACAUUGAGAGAUGUCAAGAUACUUCAAGCGACCAAGUUGACAGAUUCCCGGAGGAAGCACCUAAGAUUCGGGCAAGCAUACAUCGUCAAAAUCUCUAGAGACGACAGUUUGUGCAAAUUGGCUGGUAGCCUUUGAAGGCUGUGGCAGUUCGUGAUGCUCAGGUUCGUGAGAGAUCGGGCCCUGCAAAUGCUCGAAGGAAGCUCCAAAAGUCGUCGCAAUGGUCAAUAGUGAGCUCCGAUAGGCAUGGAAAAAUCUGGGGGAGGUCGACGGUUGACGGAUCCAGGCUGUCAUUGAUCUUGCACAGGACUAGAGAUAUCUUCCUCAUGUAAUUGAGGGGUAUUGUGGUUUCAGAUAAAUGGGGGACACAAACCCUUUCAAGCCAGAGGCUUCGCAACUUGGUCAAACUAGAGAAAACCGAAAAGUUUCUGAGGACAGCGUUGGAAGUGCUGUGAUUUAUGACAAUCAGAGCACGGAGCUUUGGCAAGUACUCGAUAAAAGGGGGUAAGAAGUAACUGUCGGAGGAGAAGUUGAGAAUGAGCACUUCAGCCUUGGGGAAUUCAGUCUUGGCCAGUCCAUUUCAUUCAUUUCACCUAGAUUUGCACAACAGAUAUUAGUGAAAACAAAUUGGAAGGGAGAAUUCAGUGUACGAGCCUCACUAAAUUUCAGUCAGUACCUGUGUGAACUGAAACAAUUUGGGCAUCAAAUGGUCUGUCUGAAUUCCUCUCCCACUCUCUAGGAAGCUCAUUUUCUCUUCUAGGCAUAAGCAGCGCCUGCACUUGUUGACUUCCUCCUGGUUGUUGAGAUGAAGGGCGAGGUCAUGUUGGGUCAUCGACACCUCAAAGUAACUGCUGUAUAUUUCUCCAGCUCUGCCACAGAUCUCACGAAGUUAGAAGGAUUCAGUUUGAUUAGUUCUUCCAAAUCUAAGAGCCAUACCAAAAGACGUGCGGAAUAUGUACAUGCCGGUCAUCUUUAACCAUAGUAAUUAGAUUUUUGUUGGAGAGCUCAACAAGGAUUGCAAAAGCUUCUUCGUCAUCGAUAUCGUGCAUUUCGAACCACAUUUUGAUAAGAACAUCCAGAGGAAUCUUUGUGUCCUCUGGGAACGAUCCCA